This 954-nucleotide long non-coding RNA is filed under the name Apis mellifera (honey bee). Its description in RNAcentral is "uncharacterized LOC113219215, transcript variant X3". The record is from RNAcentral. Lineage: Eukaryota; Metazoa; Arthropoda; Insecta; Hymenoptera; Apidae.
CCGUAAAAAAAGAAGGAUAUUCGAACAAAUUGUAAUUCGACAAUCAAAGGGCGGAUUAAUUUUAAGAAAAUAAUAACAAUAAUAAUAAAAAAAGAAAAGGAUCAUUCAUAGAAAAUUUUUUACUAAUCAGAAAUCUUCACUUUCAGGCGCGAUUGAAUCCGAGAUGAAGCUUGGCUCGUUCAACCGAAUCGAGGUUUCGCACAAACCCCCGUUGGAUCGUUGAGUCGAUGCCGGAUAAAUUUAUUUUAAGUGUCCUUCCGAUACCUCGAUUCACCAUGCUCGGUCGAAAGGAGUAAUAGCAACUGAGAGACUCGUCUGGCAAGUGUUCUCGUUUGUGGUAAGAAUUCUUCGUUUCUUUCUUUUCUCCUCUUUUCUUUUUUCUCUUUCUUUCUUUUUUUUCCAGUGACCCGACGCUGUGUCAGACGCGAUUGAAAAAAGAAAAAAAAAGGAAAAGAAGGUAGAGGCGCGAGAAGAAAGGGAUUUCCGGGCGCAUAUGAAAUGCACGAGUGACGGGAGGGGAGAAAAAACAUCCGUCACUUUUAUUUAUUUUCUAGAGAGGAAGAUAUAUAUAUACAUGUAUGUAUUUGUACGUGAAAUUUGGAUUUUAUUAUAUAUAAAUUAAAAUUGAACGUGUAAAAUGAUACGGGAAGCAAAGUUUAUUCGUAACAGAGGAUAAAAUACGUACGAGGAUAGAAGGGAUAGAGUUACGAGCGAAAUCAAAUGGAAAAGUUCGAUCGAAAAAAAAGAAAAAAUAAAUAAAUGGAAAGAUAAUAAUUCGUAAAAGAACAACGAUAUCCUUCCUCUUAAAAAUUAUUCCGGAGAGAGAGUAUUUAAAGAGAGAGAAAAAAAGAGAAAUAAAAUUCCAUUUCCUCGAACGAUAUGCUCGUUCUAUUUUUUUUUUUUUCUUUUUCUCCACCAUUGAGCGUUGAAACUUUGAUAAAGCUUCGUAUUAAA